Molecule: ribosomal RNA, 552 nt
Filed under: Paramesotriton chinensis (Chinese warty newt)
Lineage: Eukaryota; Metazoa; Chordata; Amphibia; Caudata; Salamandridae
Description: partial 16S ribosomal RNA
Rfam family: Bacterial large subunit ribosomal RNA
Source: RNAcentral
CGCCUCUUGCCCUCCAAGUAUAAGAGGUCCCGCCUGCCCAGUGAUUAAUUUUAACGGCCGCGGUAUCAUGACCGUGCAAAGGUAGCGUAAUCACUUGUCUUUUAAAUAAAGACCUGUAUGAAAGGCAAAACGAAAGCUCAACUGUCUCUUUAAUCUAAUCAGUGAAAUUAAUCUCUCCGUGCAGAAGCGAAGAUAAUUAUAUAAGACGAGAAGACCCUAUGGAGCUUUAAAUAUAAGUUAAUUAUAUAUUUAUACACAUCCGACAGGAAAAAAAUAAAUACGUAUAAUCAUAAUUCAAAUUUUCGGUUGGGGCGACCACGGAAGAAAAAACAUCCUCCGAGACAAACAAUUUAGAAUUACACUUCAAAAAUUAAAACAUUUAUUAUAAAUGAUCCACUAAGUGACCAACGAACCAAGUUACCCUAGGGAUAACAGCGCAAUCCUUUCUAAGAGUUCAUAUCGACGAAUGGGUUUACGACCUCGAUGUUGGAUCAGGACACCCAGAUGGUGCAGCCGCUAUUAAAGGUUCGUUUGUUCAACGAUUAAAGUCCU